GGUUAAGCGACUAAGCGUACACGGUGGAUGCCCUGGCAGUCAGAGGCGAUGAAGGACGUGCUAAUCUGCGAAAAGCGUCGGUAAGGUGAUAUGAACCGUUAUAACCGGCGAUGUCCGAAUGGGGAAACCCAGUGUGUUCCGACACACUAUCAUUAACUGAAUCCAUAGGUUAAUGAGGCGAACCGGGGGAACUGAAACAUCUAAGUACCCCGAGGAAAAGAAAUCAACCGAGAUUCCCCCAGUAGCGGCGAGCGAACGGGGAGGAGCCCAGAGCCUGAAUCAGUGUGUGUGUUAGUGGAAGCGUCUGGAAAGGCGCGCGAUACAGGGUGACAGCCCCGUACACAAAAAUGCACAUGCUGUGAGCUCGAUGAGUAGGGCGGGACACGUGGUAUCCUGUCUGAAUAUGGGGGGACCAUCCUCCAAGGCUAAAUACUCCUGACUGACCGAUAGUGAACCAGUACCGUGAGGGAAAGGCGAAAAGAACCCCGGCGAGGGGAGUGAAAAAGAACCUGAAACCGUGUACGUACAAGCAGUGGGAGCCUCUUAAUGGGGUGACUGCGUACCUUUUGUAUAAUGGGUCAGCGACUUAUAUUCUGUAGCAAGGUUAACCGAAUAGGGGAGCCGGAGGGAAACCGAGUCUUAACUGGGCGUUAAGUUGCAGGGUAUAGACCCGAAACCCGGUGAUCUAGCCAUGGGCAGGUUGAAGGUUGGGUAACACUAACUGGAGGACCGAACCGACUAAUGUUGAAAAAUUAGCGGAUGACUUGUGGCUGGGGGUGAAAGGCCAAUCAAACCGGGAGAUAGCUGGUUCUCCCCGAAAGCUAUUUAGGUAGCGCCUCGUGAAUUCAUCUCCGGGGGUAGAGCACUGUUUCGGCAAGGGGGUCAUCCCGACUUACCAACCCGAUGCAAACUGCGAAUACCGGAGAAUGUUAUCACGGGAGACACACGGCGGGUGCUAACGUCCGUCGUGAAGAGGGAAACAACCCAGACCGCCAGCUAAGGUCCCAAAGUCAUGGUUAAGUGGGAAACGAUGUGGGAAGGCCCAGACAGCCAGGAUGUUGGCUUAGAAGCAGCCAUCAUUUAAAGAAAGCGUAAUAGCUCACUGGUCGAGUCGGCCUGCGCGGAAGAUGUAACGGGGCUAAACCAUGCACCGAAGCUGCGGCAGCGACGCUGAUGCGUUGUUGGGUAGGGGAGCGUUCUGUAAGCCUGUGAAGGUGUGCUGUGAGGCAUGCUGGAGGUAUCAGAAGUGCGAAUGCUGACAUAAGUAACGAUAAAGCGGGUGAAAAGCCCGCUCGCCGGAAGACCAAGGGUUCCUGUCCAACGUUAAUCGGGGCAGGGUGAGUCGACCCCUAAGGCGAGGCCGAAAGGCGUAGUCGAUGGGAAACAGGUUAAUAUUCCUGUACUUGGUGUUACUGCGAAGGGGGGACGGAGAAGGCUAUGUUGGCCGGGCGACGGUUGUCCCGGUUUAAGCGUGUAGGCUGGUUUUCCAGGCAAAUCCGGAGAAUCAAGGCUGAGGCGUGAUGACGAGGCACUACGGUGCUGAAGCAACAAAUGCCCUGCUUCCAGGAAAAGUCUCUAAGCAUCAGGUAGCAUCAAAUCGUACCCCAAACCGACACAGGUGGUCAGGUAGAGAAUACCAAGGCGCUUGAGAGAACUCGGGUGAAGGAACUAGGCAAAAUGGUGCCGUAACUUCGGGAGAAGGCACGCUGAUGGUAGGUGAAGCGACUUGCUCGUGGAGCUGAAAUCAGUCGAAGAUACCAGCUGGCUGCAACUGUUUAUUAAAAACACAGCACUGUGCAAACACGAAAGUGGACGUAUACGGUGUGACGCCUGCCCGGUGCCGGAAGGUUAAUUGAUGGGGUCAGCGCAAGCGAAGCUCUUGAUCGAAGCCCCGGUAAACGGCGGCCGUAACUAUAACGGUCCUAAGGUAGCGAAAUUCCUUGUCGGGUAAGUUCCGACCUGCACGAAUGGCGUAAUGAUGGCCAGGCUGUCUCCACCCGAGACUCAGUGAAAUUGAACUCGCUGUGAAGAUGCAGUGUACCCGCGGCAAGACGGAAAGACCCCGUGAACCUUUACUAUAGCUUGACACUGAACACUGGUCCUUGAUGUGUAGGAUAGGUGGGAGGCUUUGAAGUGUGGACGCCAGUCUGCAUGGAGCCGUCCUUGAAAUACCACCCUUUAAUGGCUGGUGUUCUAACGUUGGCCCCUUAUCGGGGUUGCGGACAGUGUCUGGUGGGUAGUUUGACUGGGGCGGUCUCCUCCUAAAGAGUAACGGAGGAGCACGAAGGUUGGCUAAUCCUGGUCGGACAUCAGGAGGUUAGUGCAAUGGCAUAAGCCAGCUUGACUGCGAGCGUGACGGCGCGAGCAGGUGCGAAAGCAGGUCAUAGUGAUCCGGUGGUUCUGAAUGGAAGGGCCAUCGCUCAACGGAUAAAAGGUACUCCGGGGAUAACAGGCUGAUACCGCCCAAGAGUUCAUAUCGACGGCGGUGUUUGGCACCUCGAUGUCGGCUCAUCACAUCCUGGGGCUGAAGUAGGUCCCAAGGGUAUGGCUGUUCGCCAUUUAAAGUGGUACGCGAGCUGGGUUUAGAACGUCGUGAGACAGUUCGGUCCCUAUCUGCCGUGGGCGCUGGAGAACUGAGGGGGGCUGCUCCUAGUACGAGAGGACCGGAGUGGACGCAUCACUGGUGUUCGGGUUGUCAUGCCAAUGGCACUGCCCGGUAGCUAAAUGCGGAAGAGAUAAGUGCUGAAAGCAUCUAAGCACGAAACUUGCCCCGAGAUGAGUUCUCCCUGAGACUUAGAGUCUCCUGAAGGAACGUUGAAGACGACGACGUUGAUAGGCCGGGUGUGUAAGCGCAGCGAUGCGUUGAGCUAACCGGUACUAAUGAACCGUGAGGCUUAACCUU
This 2902-nucleotide ribosomal RNA is filed under the name Escherichia albertii. Its description in RNAcentral is "23S ribosomal RNA". It matches the Rfam family "Bacterial large subunit ribosomal RNA". Lineage: Bacteria; Pseudomonadati; Pseudomonadota; Gammaproteobacteria; Enterobacterales; Enterobacteriaceae. The record is from RNAcentral.